GGGUUGCUAACUCAACGGUAGAGUGCUCAGCUUUAAGCCAAUGAGUUCCGGGUUCGAGUCCCGGUCAAUCCC
Molecule: transfer RNA, 72 nt
Filed under: Geranium maderense
Lineage: Eukaryota; Viridiplantae; Streptophyta; Magnoliopsida; Geraniales; Geraniaceae
Also listed under: 1 other name
Description: tRNA-Lys
Rfam family: tRNA
About the family: Transfer RNA (tRNA) molecules are approximately 80 nucleotides in length. Their secondary structure includes four short double-helical elements and three loops (D, anti-codon, and T loops). Further hydrogen bonds mediate the characteristic L-shaped molecular structure. tRNAs have two regions of fundamental functional importance: the anti-codon, which is responsible for specific mRNA codon recognition, and the 3' end, to which the tRNAs corresponding amino acid is attached (by aminoacyl-tRNA synthetases). tRNAs cope with the degeneracy of the genetic code in two manners: having more than one tRNA (with a specific anti-codon) for a particular amino acid; and 'wobble' base-pairing, i.e. permitting non-standard base-pairing at the 3rd anti-codon position.
Source: RNAcentral